Molecule: transfer RNA, 74 nt
Filed under: bacterium
Lineage: Bacteria
Also listed under: 2 other names
Description: tRNA-His
Rfam family: tRNA
About the family: Transfer RNA (tRNA) molecules are approximately 80 nucleotides in length.
Source: RNAcentral
GUGGCUAUGGUGUAAUGGCAGCACUAGAGAUUGUGGUUCUCUCAGCGCGGGUUCGACUCCCGUUAGCCACCCCA